Molecule: transfer RNA, 72 nt
Filed under: Bos taurus (domestic cattle)
Lineage: Eukaryota; Metazoa; Chordata; Mammalia; Artiodactyla; Bovidae
Also listed under: 2 other names
Rfam family: tRNA
About the family: Transfer RNA (tRNA) molecules are approximately 80 nucleotides in length. Their secondary structure includes four short double-helical elements and three loops (D, anti-codon, and T loops). Further hydrogen bonds mediate the characteristic L-shaped molecular structure. tRNAs have two regions of fundamental functional importance: the anti-codon, which is responsible for specific mRNA codon recognition, and the 3' end, to which the tRNAs corresponding amino acid is attached (by aminoacyl-tRNA synthetases). tRNAs cope with the degeneracy of the genetic code in two manners: having more than one tRNA (with a specific anti-codon) for a particular amino acid; and 'wobble' base-pairing, i.e. permitting non-standard base-pairing at the 3rd anti-codon position.
Source: Rfam by way of RNAcentral
UCCCUGGUGGCUCAGAAGGUAAAGCAUCUGCCUGCAAUGUGGGAGACCCGGGUUCGAUUCCUGGGUCGGGAA